AGCAGCCGCGGUAAUUCCAGCUCCAAUAGCGUAUAUUAAAGUUGUUGCAGUUAAAAAGCUCGUAGUUGAAUUUCGGGGUCAGUAGGUUGGUCGUGCCACCGGUACGUACUGGUCUCACUGAUUCCUCCUUCCUGAUGAGCUGUAAUGCCAUUAAUUUGGUGUUGCAGGGAAUCUGGACUGUUACUUUGAAAAAUUAGAGUGUUUAAAGCAGGCUAACGCUUGAAUGCAUUAGCAUGGAAUAAUGAAAUAGGACGUUCGAUCCUAUUUUGUUGGUUUCUAGGAUUGACGUAAUGAUUAAUAGGGAUAGUUGGGGGCAUUAGUAUUCAAUUGUCAGAGGUGAAAUUCUUGGAUUUAUUGAAGACUAACUACUGCGAAAGCAUUUGCCAAGGAUGUUUUCAUUAAUCAAGAACGAAAGUUAGGGGAUCGAAGACGAUCAGAUACCGUCGUAGU
RNAcentral lists this ribosomal RNA (450 nucleotides) under uncultured Glomeromycotina. RNAcentral describes it as "SSU rRNA". It matches the Rfam family "Eukaryotic small subunit ribosomal RNA", at positions 569 to 1024 of the family's 1831-position model. Lineage: Eukaryota; Fungi; Glomeromycota. The record is from RNAcentral.